GCGCUCGUAGCUCAGCUGGAUAGAGUACUGCCCUCCGAAGGCAGGGGUCGUGGGUUCGAACCCCGCCGAGCGCACCA
RNAcentral lists this transfer RNA (77 nucleotides) under bacterium. Its description in RNAcentral is "tRNA-Arg". It matches the Rfam family "tRNA". From Rfam's summary of the family: Transfer RNA (tRNA) molecules are approximately 80 nucleotides in length. Their secondary structure includes four short double-helical elements and three loops (D, anti-codon, and T loops). The record is from RNAcentral.